RNAcentral lists this long non-coding RNA (851 nucleotides) under Marmota monax (woodchuck). The record is from RNAcentral. Lineage: Eukaryota; Metazoa; Chordata; Mammalia; Rodentia; Sciuridae.
GCUGGUUGCCCCCACCCAAGCCAUAGGCUGAAUCCUGACCCCAAAGGUGUCAGGAAGGGCCCUGGGGGGAUCAGGCAUGCGGUGGGGCUGCAUGAGUGGGAUUUGUACCCUUGUCACAGAGGCCGGGAGCCUGGUCACCUGGCUCCCCGAGCAGGGCUGAGUGCAGAAGGCCUCUCCGUGAGCAGAAAGGGCCGGACACGGAAUCUGCCGGCUCCUGGUCCGCUGGCCCCAGCCUCCGGGACGGUGAGGGGUGCAUUUAUGUUGUGCCUAAGCCACUUGGCCCACGGCAUUUGGCUCUAGCAGCUGCACAGGGGGCACGACCUCCCUCUAAACCUGCCGCUCCUGAGCGUCAGUCAAAGGCAGGGUAUCCUUCCAGGACUCAGGACCUAUCCGGGGUCACCUUUGUCCCCUCACUUUCAGCAGUCCAUCAGGACAGUUGGCCCCAUCUCUGGAACACGCUGAGUCCGCCCCCUGCGGUCCUCCAUGUCCCCACUGGGUCCCAGCUCUCUCUCUCCCGGCCUCUCACCUCCUGCCCGCCAGGCCUGCAACCCCUCCCGCCUCCUCUGCUCACCAGCGCACCCUAGAUAUGUCCCCCACCCUGGAGCAGACCCCAUGCGUCCCCUACAGAGCCCUCUGUUGGCUUCUCAUCUCAGGCUCGGUGAAAGGGCAGGAAGAGAGCAGGACCUACUGCUCUAGAAAACGGGCACCUCUCUCCGCGACUCCGUUUCCUCUCAUCUGUUUCUGCUUUAAGUCACUAGAUGUGGCUAUUUUAAGGGGGGGGGGUCAGCCUUCCAGGGGUCCUCCCAGACCUCCUGCACAUCUCCUAACUCCGACUCACCAUCGGGCCAGGG